UGGAGAUAAUAACAACAUAUCUGGAUGCCUACCUGUGCAAUUUACUCUAGGGGAUCUGCUUUAGCAAAUGGUUUGGAUUUGGUGAAUUCUAGAGGUCCAACCCCUACAAUUCUGUGAUACGUUACUGCUGUUAAAGUUAUCUAGUUACCUCAGUUACAAGUGUCUGGGUUAUGACAGUAACAGCAAGUGAGUCCUGUAUUUCCAUUCCUGUGUGCUCUAGCAUUCAAAGAAGUAACUCAAAUUUCAACAUGAGCAGUUCAUGAGUUAAGAAAGGACGAACCCCAGUCUUGAUGCUCAAGGUUUCCACCUGCAGUGCCAGAGCAGACAUCAUCUUGUUAUGUUUACUUUCCAGCACAGAUGAUCCAGCAAUCUGCGUCAGCACUUGACUUAAUUGCAAGAGAACAGUAAUGCUGCUGAUGCAGCAUUUCCAGAUCCGUCAGAGGAAUACUGAAGCGGUUUUCAGAAGAUAAUUUAAAAAGUACCCAGUUGACAGGAUGUUUCUUCAGGGAACCAUUGAUCGCAUUCUCAACUUGCAGCAGAACCAGAGACAGUCUUCAUUUUAAUUUCAAUAUCAGGAAUGCCUUAAGUGACGAUCACAGCUAACCCAUUUUAA
Molecule: long non-coding RNA, 613 nt
Filed under: Coturnix japonica (Japanese quail)
Lineage: Eukaryota; Metazoa; Chordata; Aves; Galliformes; Phasianidae
Description: lncRNA (ENSCJPG00005019614.1)
Source: RNAcentral